ACACAUGAUGACUGAAAUUCUUCACUUUGACCUGAUGUCUGUUGAAGAAACUCUGUGUCUGAGC
RNAcentral lists this small nucleolar RNA (64 nucleotides) under Cricetulus griseus (Chinese hamster). RNAcentral's name for it is "Small nucleolar RNA SNORD37 (ENSCGRG00000023087.1, ENSCGRG00001003321.1, ENSCGRG00015002300.2)". It matches the Rfam family "Small nucleolar RNA SNORD37". From Rfam's summary of the family: U37 is a member of the C/D class of snoRNA which contain the C (UGAUGA) and D (CUGA) box motifs. Most of the members of the box C/D family function in directing site-specific 2'-O-methylation of substrate RNAs. RNAcentral also lists the same sequence under 1 other name. The record is from Rfam by way of RNAcentral. Lineage: Eukaryota; Metazoa; Chordata; Mammalia; Rodentia; Cricetidae.